GCCUUUGCAGCUUACCUCAACUGUAGGUCAAGAGGAGCGUCUCAGUCGCUUUGGCCUGCGCUUCCCCGUAUCUCUUUUGGCUUUGAAUGCCAGCUGUUUCUGAAGUGCGACGAGAGCGACAAAGAUGCAGAAUAUCGGAGCCGCGAACGCCGACGAUGCGUUCUAUCGCUACAAAAUGCCGAAGCUGCAGGCCAAGGUGUGCAGGCGCAUUAAGUGCGCGGCUGCUACCUAUGGCAGCAGAGUGGCUUGGGAACGGGCGGUUGAGGCGCCUGCUUUGUUCGGCUGGCUGCAGAUUGAGGGCCGAGGCAACGGCAUCAAGACUAACGUUGUAAACAACGUUGAGAUUGCAAAGGCUCUGGAGCGCCCACCUGAGUGUAAGCCGCCGCUGCGGAGGAGUGUGUUGUCCGGGCAGCUGCGUGCAUCGUUGCCUCCCGGCUCCCAGCAGCUUGGGGGCCUUGAACUGACCCAAUUGUGGUGUUCACAUACAGAUG
This 491-nucleotide long non-coding RNA is filed under the name Chlamydomonas reinhardtii. RNAcentral describes it as "long non-coding RNA (CREI_LNC000474)". Lineage: Eukaryota; Viridiplantae; Chlorophyta; Chlorophyceae; Chlamydomonadales; Chlamydomonadaceae. The record is from RNAcentral.